GUGUUGAGCGCACUACCAACCUUUGCCCUGACUGUUCUGAAGGUGCCAAAGAAGAUUUUGGCCGAAGUGGACAAGAUCAGACGACGUUUCCUAUGGGCUCAAGAUGAAGAGAUCAGUGGCGGUAAGUGCAAAGUAAGCUGGUUGGUGGUGUGCACUCCGAUCGACAACGGUGGCCUUGACAUCUCAAACCUGCAUCGAUUCAGCCAUGCACUCAGGCUUAGGUGGCUCUGGUUCUCUUGGAUCACACCCAACAGACCCUGGGUUGGCAUGCGGCUACCAUGCGACCAAGGAGACAAAGACCUU
RNAcentral lists this ribosomal RNA (303 nucleotides) under Triticum aestivum (bread wheat). RNAcentral's name for it is "partial small subunit ribosomal RNA". Lineage: Eukaryota; Viridiplantae; Streptophyta; Magnoliopsida; Poales; Poaceae. The record is from RNAcentral.